AGUACCUGAAGAGAAAAUUAUCAUCUGCUGGCAGGAAUGUUGUAAGUCUUUCUUCCUCUUCCGUUAAUCAUUGAGUCAUUUGUAUGGUAGCUACACUGUAAUCCUACACCUUUUUUACAACGUAAAUUUACCCAUAUCUACAUUGUAAUCCGAUGCCCCUUCUUUACACAGUAAUUCGACUGAUAGUUACUGUGUAAUUUGUAUGUUAGUUACAUUGUAACCCUUACUCCUCUUUUUACAGUGAAAAUUUACCCAUAUCUACACUGUAAUCCGAUGACUUUUUUUUACUCAGUAAUUUACCCAUAUCAUGUGUAAUUUUGUAUGGUAGUUAGGCUGUAAUCCUACACCUUUCUUACAGUGUAAAUUUACCCAUAUCUACACUGUAAUUUGAAUGCCUUUUUUUACACAGUAAUUUGAUGAUAAUUACGGUGUAAUUUUGUAUGGUGUUGCACUUUAAUCCUACACCUCUUUUACAGUGUAAAUUUACCCAUAUCUGCUUCUGAGUUUCAGCUGAAAAGGAAAUUCAUCCCCUUAACUCUGACCCCUAUGUUCCUCAAGUAAAUCGUUAUUCGGUUUCUGCUCAAGAAAGGUGUCACCAUCUUGCCAUGAUUCAGAUUGCAAGUCAUCCAGAAUGGUGCACAUAAGUUUUGUUCCGUUUCUUUUGUUCUAACCUCUUCAGUGUAUGAAGCAAUUCGAUAUGAAAGAGCUUUACUGCAUUUACCGUAAUCUUUCUUCUCUCCAGUUCAAAGCCCGUGUAGACAAUUUCUUGAUCUUGUGUGUGUGUGUCGUUAUCUAUUCAAUGAAGCUCACCCUUCCAUUUCUAAGAAGCAUUUCUUCUUCUCAUAUAUUGGUGUAAGUUGUUCUUCUGCUACUUUCUUGUAUAUAUUUUUGUGUCUUCUAUAGUUGUUUGUGAAUUUUAUUCCUUUUAAUGUAAGGUGUCUUACUUCGGUCUUCAUUUCUCUCACAUAGGAAACGAUUUUGAAUGGUUCUAAUGAAGAGUGUGUUGCUAAUGCUUUCAAUAGUGCUAAUAGUGCUUUUCCCAUGUGGAGAAGCAAUAUGGUGGUCUAGCGUGAAGAUUUUCUUGGUGGUCAACAAGACUGGAGAUUCAUCCAUCCUUUAUUAGCUUCGUAUAGUUUUCAUGAUGUGUUAGCUAUUUUGAUACAACAGUAUUAUUGGUCCAAGAAUGUUCUGAUUCAAUGUACUUUUUAGGCCGAUGACUUGUAUCAUCGCCCCUGUAACAGUUUUAGGUUCCUUUUGUUACUGGGAUGCUUUUCUGGUGCAUUAUUAGCUAUUUUUACCUGAAUGGUUU
RNAcentral lists this long non-coding RNA (1309 nucleotides) under Triticum aestivum (bread wheat). RNAcentral's name for it is "long non-coding RNA (TAES_LNC028091)". The record is from RNAcentral. Lineage: Eukaryota; Viridiplantae; Streptophyta; Magnoliopsida; Poales; Poaceae.